UCACUCUCCCUGGAUGCUAAGCCUAGUCUGAACUAUUGAGAUUUAAAUUGUUGGCAUUCUAGAAAUUGUCAAACAUGUCGAACCAGAGAGACCAGUAGACUCUUACAUCUACCACUCAGGUCCUGGAAUUAUCAGGAUUUUGCAGUUGCUUUCUCUGUUCUUCUGUAGUUUUUAUUUUUUCUAUUUAUGCCUUUUUUCUUCUUUUUUUUUUUUUUGGCUGGAAUAUUUCAGAACAAUAUGGAAGACAGUUUUACCAUUGGCUCAUCUCCCUGAUCUGUGUGGCAUUUCUUCUUCCUUUGGAUCAGUUUCUUACCUUUGUGUAUCAUGUGGUGGUUGGGUAUUUAUUUUACUUAAAGAUACUUACAGGAUCUAAUCAUAUGCCAAUACCCUUUUCUAAGUCCUUUACAAAUAUGAGCCAGCUUACUCCUCAUCAGAAUCUUAUGAAGUAGAUAUUUUUUCUUAGAGAUUUUAGAGGCUGUGUUUUUUUAUUUAAAAGAGAUUUUUCAUUUGGAGAUGAAACUGAGGCACAGAACCUGAGAGUAGCCUGCCCUGGGUCAUUCAGUGGUCUAGCUGGCCUUCAAACUCAGGCUAUGUAGUUUCAUAAUCUGUGUUCUUAGUUGCCAUCCUGUGUUACAAAUAUGAUUAAUGUAAAAGCCGUCACUGUCGUCUGUUCCCUAAUGGUGCUAAGUUACAGGAAGGAAAAAACUAGUUCCUGGCCUCCAGAUGCUCCCUGUAUGAUGGGGAGAAGGACUUGGAGACUAGUAACUGCAGCACAGAGGAGUAAAUGUUGUAAUGCUUAUGUGUAGGAUUCAGUGGGAAUGUGAAAGGAAGAUCAUACAGGACUCCUGGGGAAAUUAAGGUUGGCUUCACAGAGGCUGUGAUCCUGAAUCUCCUAUCAGAGGAUGGAUGAGGGGGAGAAAAUUCAGGUAGAUGCGACAUCCUGGGCCUCAAGGUGAGAACACAGAUAGGACUGGAGAAAGAUGGAUGUGGUACUGGACUUCUCAGGCAGUAAGAUUAUGAAGGCACUGACUUGCCUGCUAAAAAGCUUUGAGUCAAUCCUGCUCCUAGUAGGGAGCUACUGAUGGAUUUUAAGCAGAGAAGAAACAGGGUGAGAUUUGUAGGUUAACUAAGCUCUCUCUGGGGGCAGUAUAGAGGAUGGAUUGGGAGGAGGUGUGACUGGAUGCCUUUUCAUUUGUGCUGGUAAGAAAAGCUGGGGCCUGAACCAGAGACUCAUCUGUGGGAAUGGAGAGAGUGGAUCUGAGAGGUGAGGACCCAGGGGGUCCUUGUUAUGCAAGUGUUCGUUAUUUGAUUUUCUGAAUUACGAGGUUGCCUAGGAAAUCAGCAGUGGUCAUAACCUUAAAUUUUCACUAAUGAAUCGAUCACUUAUAAAAACAGUUCAAGCGUGCGAAUGUACUUUAAGGUGACCCCCAGCGCAUUAUGCCAUCGUGUAAGCCCCUCCAUGGGUAUGUCACAUUAUAUAAUUUUAGCAGACUGGAGCAAGAACUUCUGCAGACUUUGAAGAAGUGAGCUGCCAUGUUUAGGGGUGUGGAUCGUGUGGAAAGGAACUGUGGGCCGCCUCUAGGAACUGAGAGUGACCCCCAGCUGACAGCUAGAGAGAAAAUGGGGGCCUCAGUCCUAUAACUGCAGGAAACUGAAUUCUGCCAACAACCAUAUGAGUUUUGAAGAGGACCCCAAGCUCCAGAGUGAAAUACAGCCUGGUUGAUAGCUUGAUGGCCUGUGAGACCCUGGACAGAAGACUCAGAUGUAGGAUUAUGGAUAGUCAAUAAAAGGAUUGCUGGAGAACUGCUCAAACCAUUCUACAGACAAAUAAGGAUCGAGCAGGGCUAGACCCCGCUCAUAAUUGGCGAGAAAAACAGCCAGCAUGCUGACAAGAAACCGGUCUCGAGAGAGAAGGAUUUGAAUAUCUUUGAAUAUUAAGAAACACCUUGGAGAAAAUGAGGCACUGAGGGUCUGAGUUUCCCAAGAUGCACUGGGAGCACAUCCUAAAAAAGGCUGAUCUUGAUUAUAAGCCAUUGCCUGGGAGGCAGAAAAGCAAAUUCUUUCCUCCUCCUCCUUUCAUAGUUGCUUUUCUUAACUUUUUGUUUAUAUAUAUAUUUGCAAGCAUUAAAAUAACACUGGUAAUUAAGACAUCAGGAUAGGGUGGUCCUGGUGUGAUGGGUCUAUAUCCAGCAACAUAUGUUCAAGACCUCAGGAAACACACAGUGAAACUGCAUCCUGGUUGGCACCGUGUUAUAAAUGCGUGUUGCUGGGCAGAAAUCCUAAUGUCACCGCUCUUGGUUCUGAGACGUUGUGAUCAUCUCCCACAAAUGAGUGUUUAAAACCUGUGAGACAUUUCCACAGAGCACUGAGUUAUUUUUAAGUAACUUCUGGGGUUGUUUUUUUUUUUAUAUGAAGUCUGAUUCACAUUUAUUACAUAAAUUUUUUUAGAAAGAUGGGGAGAAAAGGAAAACAACUUGCUGGUAAUCUCACUGGCUGGAAGUAGCCACCGUAAAGCCCAUUGGUGUCUGCCUUCUAGAUUGUAAUUUUAACAAAAAUGGAAUUUUUUUUAAAAUGAGCUCUUGUUGAAGGUUUUGUAAUCUUUUUUAAAACUUAAUAUUUUAUAAGAUUAAUGUCAUUGAGUUAUCCUUUACAUCAUCAUUUUUAAUGGCUGAAUAUGUUUACAUUCUCGUAAGUGGAUAUAGCAUAAUUUAUGUAACCAGGUCCUCAGUGUUUGACAUUUAGUUUGUUUCUAGUUUCUCACAGCUCUCUCUCAGCGUCCUUGAGUUAUGUCAUUGAAUACAUUCAGAAUUGCUCUUUUAUAAUAAAUUACUAACUGGAGUUGUUGCAUUUAAGGGUAUGUAGCAUUCUAAGGCUUUGGAUACAUGUGUUGCCAAACUCCCCUCCCUCUUAAAUAUUGUACCAUCUGAGUCUAAGAGUGUGCUAAAGUCUCUGCUGCUCUCGAAUGUGCAGAGGUAUGUCACAGACAUCUGAAGCUGGCUGAACAGAGGACACUGGGGACAGUUCAUGGAAACAUAGGUCACCGAUGGUGAGCUGGAAUCUGAGUCACAGUGGCCUUGCAGUUGCAGCAGGUGUCUAGAGCCCAUGACCAGUUGCCUGCUGCCUUGAUUUAAAAUUUCCAGCGUCUGGGAUGCCAUGUGAUGUGCUGGACAGAAGCCAGACUGUGUAUGCCCCUGCCUGAUUCAGCUACACUCACACAGCCAUGAAGAGAUCAGAAAUACGAAAGCAUUUGGAAGAGUUCCCAGGACCACAUGAAUAUAUGGUGAAUGUGGUAUAACGUCUUCCUGCUCCUGUCCCUGGCUUGCCGUUCUUACCACGAGGCGCUCUCUUUCUGGCAGAGAGAACUAGCAGCAACCAGCGUUAAAACCAAUUGAAUCACCCACUGAGUGUUUUCCUGUCUUCCUGGUGGAGAAAGGUGCUGGACUCUUGAGAAUUGGGACUGAUUCUCACUGAUGUUUAGGACCUCAGCAGAAAUGGCCUCUGGUCAGAUGGCAUGCUGGAGUUUUCAGAUAAAAGAUGCGAUUUUGUAUAAGCAAAUGAUGCCCUUUGCGAUCAUUUUGCAAAUUAUCUGUGGCUUGCUGGGAAACUUGCUCAGUAUUCUGUCCCACACAUUUCUGCCUAGUGACCUUAAUCCUCCUAUAUUUCUGUUGCUGGAGUUGGGCCUGUACAUAGUCUCUUCAUGGGCUGUUUUCAUAAAGCUUGAUUAAUGUUCUAUUGUUAAUGUCCUUUAUAAGACCUGGACACUUGCUUUAUUGAAAUGGAACUUUGAGACUGCAGGGGCAGCUCUCCUGUUUGUUACAUGGCCUAAGACCCAACUCCAGCAAACUCCAGCUAAAUUUUGCAACUUUGAUGCAAGAGAACAGUCUGGCUGGCAACUGUUAAAUCUUUAGGAAAAAACGACCAAAGUGGUGUGACCAUAGGCUGCACGUGUAGUGGCAUUACAUGCCAUCCUUGAGGUGCAGUAAGUUUUACUGAACGAUACCAGUGUGAUAAACAGUACCAUUUUACUUCAAAUGUUGAACCAUUUGCUGAUAUUAAAAUUAUUUUCCACAAAUUUGGAUUUGCAUAAUAGUAUAGAGGUUGUAUUAUUUCUAUCACAUCAUUUUACCUUACGGUGAAAUAUCUAAGAAUGGUCUUUUACAUGUUGAACGUGUUAGUUAUUAAUAACAACCCAGAAAUUAUCACUUGAAAGCACCAUUAUAGAAAGCUGAAGUAAUAUCCUUAUCUAGGCAGACUUCAUCUGUUUGAAACAUGGAAAAAGCUUAAGGUGCUCAUUAAAUUCUUCUAAUGAUUUAUUACAG
Long non-coding RNA from Camelus dromedarius (Arabian camel), 4319 nucleotides. RefSeq lists it as uncharacterized. Lineage: Eukaryota; Metazoa; Chordata; Mammalia; Artiodactyla; Camelidae. The record is from RefSeq and is a predicted model, not a curated record. The transcript has 3 exons.